Long non-coding RNA from Bacillus rossius redtenbacheri, 1163 nucleotides. RefSeq lists it as uncharacterized. The record is from RefSeq and is a predicted model, not a curated record. The transcript is spliced from 2 exons. NCBI's taxonomy places the organism in Eukaryota, Metazoa, Arthropoda, Insecta, Phasmatodea, Bacillidae.
UGUAGACAUCCUGUACAUAGUACAUAUACAUCUGAGCUGUAGUCCAAUCGAAACAAGAGUGAACCAUUUUUUACUUUACACGCCAAACUUCAAUGUUUUCUUGGGAAGAGAGUUCAUUCAGGAGUAAUGCUCGUUGGUUCAUUCCGUAUGCAGUCAGCUGAUGGGUUUGGCAAGAGAUAAGACCCUCAUGGAUUUGCAUAAGCGUUAUCAACAUCUCUGCCGUAAACGUACCUCGUAUCUUUCUCGUCCACAUUCCAAGUCUCUGCUCGACGUGGCUGUGCGGACACUGCACUUGUUCGCACUCACCCUCGGGAUCUUCUCGUCCUCGGUGACCAGCUCUAUCCGCUGCGUGACGGAGUGGACGGCCGCCAGGUCCAGGGAGCCCACGUACACCUGGAUGGGGUUCUUCAUGUAGGACUGCGCCAGUCGCCGCACGCCCUCCGGCCAGGUGGCGCUGAAACAGUCGCACUCGGCUGACACGGGGCGGUGCAGCAUCCACACAACAACUUUUCAUGGUUUUAUUUCGUUUUUAAAAUGGAGGUUUUUCAGUGUUGUCAUUUUAAUUUUUAUAAAAGCUGUGUCGAUACUUACUCCACCAAAAUUGUGUUGAGAUAAAAAUUGAUAUGCUGCAUUUUAACGAUAAAAUAAUUUGUAAUAAAUUGGUCUAAACCAGAUGCAUUCAGAACAAUAAUAAUAAAUUAAUUUUUUCUGAUCCAUGCACUUUGGUACAAUUUUUUUGUCCGAAAAUAACAACAUUCCUUGAAUUUCAAACAUUAAAGUAUUACUCUUUUUAUGAUUUGAAAUAAGUUUUGGUUAAAUGCUACUUGAUUUCAUGUUGUAACUUGCAUUUCGGUGUUAUAUGGUGUAUUAAUCUGCAUUUUGGUGUUAUUUCUGUUUUAUCGCGAUUCGCCAUAUAAUCUUGUCCCUAGUAAUAACUGAUAAGUCUUUCCUAGUAGCUACAGAAACUCCUUAACAGGGAUUCACUGUGAUGAAAUACACAAUACAUUUACAGUUUGAUUCCUUUGAAACAGCUAAAAUAUUUUAAUAAUAAAUUUAAACAUUACUUUUUAACACCCCAUAAAGCCAAAAUAAUCAUGUAAAAAAAAAUUCACAACUCAAUAUAAUUUUUUUUUAUAGAGAAAAACAGUUGUAGUUAGUACCAA